RNAcentral lists this ribosomal RNA (253 nucleotides) under uncultured bacterium. RNAcentral's name for it is "partial 16S ribosomal RNA". It matches the Rfam family "Bacterial small subunit ribosomal RNA", at positions 524 to 776 of the family's 1533-position model. The record is from RNAcentral.
UACGUAGGGGGCAAGCGUUGUCCGGAUUUAUUGGGCGUAAAGAGCGUGUAGGCGGCCAGGUAGGUCAGCUGUGAAAACUCGAGGCUCAACCUCGAGACGUCGGUUGAAACCACCUGGCUAGAGUCCGGAAGAGGAGAGUGGAAUUCCUGGUGUAGCGGUGAAAUGCGCAGAUAUCAGGAAGAACAUCCGUGGCGAAGGCGGCUCUCUGGGACGGUACUGACGCUGAGACGCGAAAGCGUGGGGAGCGAACAGG